GGCUCCGCCUCCGGGUGAGAGGUCAGCGGGAGGGAGCGAGCAGCCGCGAUGAUGGCGGCCGGGAAGCCGCGGGGCGGCGCGCAGGGGAAGCCCAGCCGGCGGCGCGCAGGAAAUAAGCAUUCAGCUGCUCUGAAGAAUGAAGAUGCUGCUCAAAGGAAAGCAGCUCUGGAGGCUGCUAUGAGAAAGAAGAUUGAAUGUGAGAAAAAAGCAUUGUCUAUUGUUGAACAGCUCCUGGAAGAGAACAUAACUGAAGAGUUCCUUCUGGAUUCUGGAAAAUGUAUUACUCCAUCUCACUAUAAAGACAUAGUUGAUGAACGGUCUAUCAUCAAACUGUGUGGUUAUCCUCUAUGUCAAAAUAAACUGGAAAAUGUGCCAAAACAGAAGUACAGAAUUUCAACAAAAACGAACAGAGUUUAUGAUAUCACCGAAAGAAAGUGCUUUUGCAGCAACUUUUGCUAUAGAGCAUCUAAAUAUUUUGAAGCUCAAAUUUCCAGAAGUCCAGUAUGGAUGCGAGAAGAAGAUAAACCACCAGAAAUACAGCUGCUGAAGGAGGGACAGAGUGGACAGUCUGGAGAAGAGGUGAAACUACGUGACGAAGUAAUUAAAGCAUCUGACAUUGAAAAUCCUUGGAUAUCUUCAAAUCCGUGUGACUCUGGUUCUCAUGACACAUCCAGUGACAGCAGUAGUGAUACUGAACAAGAAUUUGUUUCUUCUGUCCUACCAGGAAGUCAGUCAAGUUCAGCCAGUUUUGCACCGCAAUUGCACAGAAGCAGCAUCCUCAAAAAGAAGCGUGGCCAAAACGUUUAUUCCAGCCCUAAAACUGAAGACUCAGAUGUGAUAGAAGCCACUGAACAGCUAUCUAAUUGUAAAUUAGAUGCUCAGGAGGAAAUGCGUGCUUGCUCUGUUCAUAAUAAAAUAACUUCUACGUCUUCAAAAAAUACUACUCUGGGGAAAUCAAGUGCUUCAGAAAACUGUGAAAAUACCUGUGGUUCACAGGUAGUUUUUCUAGGUGUGAGCAAAAGAGGGGCAGAACACCUGAAAAGAACACUAGCUAACUCUGUAGAGCAUAAAAAACCUGAACUGAGGGAUCCAAUUAAUUCCAAAGGCAGUUUAUUAGAAGUGCUUAAGCAAACACUUGUGGAAUGGAGAACUGAGGAAACUUUAAAAUUUCUCUAUGGCCCAAACUAUACAUCUUUGUGUUCAUCAGAGCGUGUAUUAUCUGUUAACCAGGAGAAGGAAGAACUUGAUGAGGAUGACUUAGAUACAGCUGAUGAUCUUAACACUGUUUCUGUAGGGGAGUCUGAAAACAGUUUGAACUAUUCUUUACCUUUCACAAGCCCAGGUGGAACAGUUAAGCCUGUGCCUAGCUACGAAAAGUUAAAAGAAGAAACAGAGUUCUUAGAACUCCGAGUAAGAGAGUUCUAUAAAGGAAAGUGUGUCUUGGCUGAAGAGGCGGUGACAUGUGCACAAGCAGAGGAACAUGCGAGCAAAGACAAAGAUGAUCAACAGGAAGAUCUCACCUUCCCACUUGUCGAUUCAAAUGCGCAAAUGCAGAUUAGAAAAAGAAUCGUCCUUGAAAAACUGAGAAAAGCAUUACCUGCAGUUUUGGGCCCUCUUCAGAUUACUCCAGGUGAUGUUUACACAGAGCUAAAAAAUCUUGUCAAAACUUUCCGAUUAACAAACAGAAAUAUUAUUCACAAAAUGCCUGAAUGGACUCUAAUUGCUAUCGUUUUGUUAUCUGUUUGUCAGCAAGGACUUUUGUCAUGUGGUUUGACAAACUCUUGGGACUGUAGGUUUGCUUUCCCUUUCCUGGUAGUUGUAGCCAGCCAGCAGCAGCACAAGUGAAAUUUUGGCCCCGUUAAAAGGGAAUGGAAGUUGGCUUGCAUCUGGACACCAACUAUAUGAAAAGUGUGUGUGGAAGGUGAACUUUAAAAGAAGAAAAAUGCAUAUUUAGAUAUCACUGGAUUUAAAAGAAGACUUAAUUGCAGAGAUAUAUUUAAAUACUUCUUCAUCUUGUUUGUAAGUUAGAUGCUUCCAGUUCAAGAUUGUCUGUCAAAUAUUAAUGUGUUCUAAUGGAAAAUGUUUACUCCAGAGACAGUCUCUUGCUUUUAAGGUUUUUUUUUUAAAUGUUGAGCUUUUAAAAUCAUGCUCAAACUAAAGUUACUAGAAACAAGUGGGGUUUUUUCUAACUGAAACUGUGAGCAUAACUGCUAAAUUGCAUAAGUUGAAGCUGUAAUGUUUUCUAAUGUCUAAGUGUAUGUUAAAACAGUACAAAUGUGUAACCACUUAAUUAUACCAAAGGUUAUAAUUUUUUUAAGCUACCUGGUGUUGCGUCUUUAACUUACAGCAACACUCACGUUGUGCUUCUGAUCAGCUUUCUGUCCCAUACUAACUUCUGCCUGACAGAUGCGUUAUGCCUUAAGGUCUGUGGAAAUCCCUGCUGUGAUUUAAGAUACUUGACUAACAAAAUCGCUGUCUGUACCUCAAAUUAAGCAAGCAGUAAAUACAUUGUGAAGAACAUUCAGAAUUACAGUGAUGCUUUGACUCGUUCUGGUAAAUUAUCCAAGCACCUUUCAGUAUGGCUUCCUGAAGUGGAUAAAUGCGGCAAGUGUUUCAGUUCACCCCAUCUCCACGCGCUGUUAUUAAGUGAUUGGCAGCACUGGCAGCACUCCAGUUAUAUGUACAGGCAGAUGGUCUAUGGGCUGCAAUGCACAUCUAUUUCAAUGAGUUUUAUUGCUGGUCUGUAACACUUGUUGUAUUGACUCAGUCUAGUCAUUUGUCUUAAAACAAUUACUUCUGUUUAAUCAGUUGCAUUGGAGACUUCCUUCAUAGGAACAUAAUUAAAAUGGAAGCCAAGACUGCAUUCUGUAGAACUGCUGUAUUAAAAGAAUGGCAUUUCUGAUUAAUAACAUUUUUAUUGCAUUGCUAAGCCCAUCAUAUCUGUGAAAUAAGAAUAGUGAAGGUAUAUUUGAAGUAUUAAAAAAAAACAACAUAAAAAACAGCCCUUGUGUGUUGACAGAGUAGAACACAUUGUAAUGGCAUGAUUGUCCUCAUUCAUUCAUUUGACACAGCUCUGCAUAUUUCUAGAGGAUUUUAACACUGAGAUGAGCUAUUAGUGAGAAUGACCCGCAGUAUCAUGCUGAUACUUAGUUUUUAUAAAUCUGCUCAAAGGUUUAUUUAAAUAAUCUGUGGAUGAGCUUUCGUGCUUUCCCUUCUAGUUGCAAUGCAAGCAGUAGGACAUUUACUGUAGAUAGCUGCUGAAGGAGUCCUGGGCUGUUGAUGAGAUUAAAGUAAUAAUUUCAUUAAUACACUGAAACAACUUUAAGGAUUCCUGUCUAGGUAGCAGUGUCCCCUUUGGUUCUGUCCUACACCCGCCGCUGGCCCAGACCGGGGUCCAACGUACGCAACCAGCCCGUCCGACAGCUGCAGGAGGGCUCGCUGGGGCUGCACACUCAAGUGCUUCGGCACCGGCUUCUGCAGCACCAGCCGGCAAAACGCUCCCUCUCCUCUUUAUCCCUUGCAGAAGCAAUCAGAGAAGAAGUCCCUCAUGAUUUCAACUCCAAAUGGUAGGUAGGGAGCUGGGAAGAGGAGGAUGGUAAUACCCCCUGUAAAUCUUAAAAGCAGUUGAUACUUAGGUAAUACCAUCCCAAAUGUUUACAAAAACUCUGUGGAGGGGGCAAAACUGGAAAUCUUGUGCGUUUAUAACUUAAUUUUUUUUAAGUAUCAUUUAAUUAUUUGUAAAGAUGGGCUGUCCUAUAUUCAUAAUUUUGUUUUUCCAAAUCUGGAAUUGACUUGUGAUAGUCUUGCAAGUGUGAGAGUUUUGAACAGAAAUUUGACAGGCUUCCAAGUUAAUUUCAGUUUUGCAUGACCCACGAUGGUGGUAUUCCCUGCUUUUGACUUAAAGACUUCGACUUUGGUAAACUGCUCUGCUUUCAGAACCAUUUGAUCCCACAAAGAGUACUGGAUCGCUAACCAGUCCUUGCCAAAUCCCAGCAACAAACUUCGAUGUAGAUUUUCCAUUAAAAUACUUUCCAUUUGUGUCUGAAUAUUAGCAGUACCCUGGAAGACUUCUAGUAUAAAGGGGUUUUCUAUUCAGAUAGGCUUCUGUUUAAUGUUUUAUUGUAGUAGUUGACAGGUAGUGGUCAGUUGCACUCCAUGGAGCAUCUCCUGCACAGUUACGUUUCUUCAUGUUUUUUAGCGUUGUUUCUCCUAAAUGAGACCUUGUUAAUGAUGUGACCUGACUUUAUGUCAUAGCAAUAGAGCAAAUGUGCUUUAGUCUAGUGCCAAAGGCACGCUGCUGGAAUGGCUGAUUGGUCUCUCAGAACCUUCCACAGCUAUGUCACAUCACCCAGACUGGUGUCAGAGGUGUGUACACAGUUCUGUUGUUAAAUGUACGUAAGUGCUUGUUACCAGACCUUCAGCUAAAAUGCUUGUGCGAUGAGAGGACUAGAUUCCUCACAGCCAUAGUCCAAGUUGUGAAUGUCCAAAACCAGCAAAAACACACUGGGGUUCCCUGCAGGGAGGGACCCUUAGCAAGAGUCUGUAGAUGGCACCUGGAGCAGAGGCUGUGGAAUAAAACCUGCUGCCUAUAGCUGCUGUCAGCUCUUGCUUCGUUUCCGUGUUCUGAAAUGAGUGUUCAAGAAAGUUUUGUAUUCAUUAGUGCAACUUUUGUCAUUCUGGUAGAAGAAUAGUUAUCAGUCAUCCUGGUUAUGAUGAUCUUAAAAAAUUAAGUCUAAAGUGCCUAAAACAAAAGGUAGAAAGAAACUGAGAGAAUUAAAAAGAAAAAAGACUUUCAUGUGAUGAUUAUGUUGUCUUAUUCACAGUGCUCAAUGCCUGUAAACUGGCAAAAAUGUUUAUAUCCAAUUUUCUAGAGCUUUCUAUGGUGGUGCUUGCCUGUUCCAUUACUCUGCUUUAUCAUUCUGUUCUUAUUCAAGUUCCAAGCAUGCCGAGCAAGGAAGGGACUGAAAUGUGUUCAGAUCCAUGGUGUCUGCCACGAUCACUGGCUUUUAAUUUUGUUUUAAGCUUCUGGCAAUACUUAUGUUUUUCUAGGAAGGGCUUCUUCUGAGAAUGAGCAUAUGGCUUUCCUUCGUGAGUAUACAAAUGCUUUGUAUCAUAUUGAGUAAAUUUACAUGCAUUCAAAUUCUCAAAGCUUUUCAUGUAAUUUUAAGUGGUGACCAGUUGUGGGGAGUGGAAAGGAACCCAACUCUUGGGUGGUUGUGUUCUUAGCCCUGUUUUCAGGUGUCUGUUUCAGAGACCUGUAACUGGCUGAUAGCACAGUGGUGGCUUUCAAAAUCUAACUUUUUUCAAAGGGCAUCACAGAAUUAAUCUUAAAGUCCAUAAGGGUUUUCCUGAGCUCCAGUAUCUGAGGGGAGGAUGGUAAUGUACUAUUAGGGUUUUUUUUUCAGAAAGGAUAUUCACACCUUUGCAUAGGAAGUGCCAAUUGCUUUUAACUACAUAAAAAUAUUACUGCGUCAUCAUGUUUUCUGCAUGUAUUCAGCUGUCUUGGUUAAGGUAUGCCUAAAUCUAGGAAGAAGCAGUGCACACUACCAUAUCAAUUAAUGACAUUUACUCCAUAUUAUAUGACUGACUUCUAGACUUCUAAGACUAUUUUAAUUUAGGUUAAAUUCCUAUGUAUACUUGUCAAAUAUUUUUGUAAGGUGACUAGUUCAUAGAAAGCUUGGGUCUUGAGUUGAAGCCCUGAAACAAUGUCAACAUUUUGAGGUAGCCAGAUGUCAUUUGAUAGCUUGGUAAUAAUAGCUGGGUCUUCGCAUGAAUUUCACUUUUUUUUUUUCCUUGAACAUGUAACAUAUGUGGAAUAGCAACUACAAAUUUUAUCAAU
Molecule: RNA transcript, 5839 nt
Organism: Columba livia (rock pigeon)
Lineage: Eukaryota; Metazoa; Chordata; Aves; Columbiformes; Columbidae
Gene: RPAP2
Gene name: RNA polymerase II associated protein 2
Exons: 13
Source: RefSeq, a predicted model, not a curated record